UUUUUCCCCGCNGGAAUAAGCAUAUCAAUAAGCGGAGGAAAAGAAACCAACAGGGAUUGCCCCAGUAACGGCGAGUGAAGCGGCAACAGCUCAAAUUUGAAAUCUGGCGCAAGCCCGAGUUGUAAUUUGUAGAGGAUGCUUCUGGCCAGCGGCCGUUCUAAGUUCCUUGGAACAGGACGUCAUAGAGGGUGAGAAUCCCGUAUGUGACCGGCGCGCAGCCUUUACGUAGCUCCUUCGACGAGUCGAGUUGUUUGGGAAUGCAGCUCUAAAUGGGAGGUAAAUUUCUUCUAAAGCUAAAUACCGGCCAGAGACCGAUAGCGCACAAGUAGAGUGAUCGAAAGAUGAAAAGCACUUUGGAAAGAGAGUUAAAAAGCACGUGAAAUUGUUGAAAGGGAAGCGCUUGCAACCAGACUUCGUAGCGGUGUUCCGCCGGUCUUCUGACCGGUCUACUCAUCGUCGCGAGGCCAACAUCGUCUGGGACCGCUGGAUAAGACCUAAGGAAUGUAGCUUCCCUCGGGAAGUGUUAUAGCCUGUGGUGAUGCAGCGCGUCUCGGGCGAGGUCCGCGCUUCGGCAAGGAUGUUGGCGUAAUGGUUGUCAGCGGCCCGUCUUGAAACACGGACCAAGGAGUCUAACAUCUAUGCGAGUGUUCGGGUGUCAAACCCCUACGCGUAAUGAAAGUGAACGGAGGUGGGAAGCGCAAGCUGCACCAUCGACCGAUCCUGAUGUCCUCGGAUGGAUUUGAGUAAGAGCAUAGCUGUUGGGACCCGAAAGAUGGUGAACUAUGCCUGAAUAGGGUGAAGCCAGAGGAAACUCUGGUGGAGGCUCGCAGCGGUUCUGACGUGCAAAUCGAUCGUCAAAUUUGGGUAUAGGGGCGAAAGACUAAUCGAACCAUCUAGUAGCUGGUUCCUGCCGAAGUUUCCCCUCAGGAAAAA
RNAcentral lists this ribosomal RNA (933 nucleotides) under Mycosphaerellaceae sp. NT-2020a. RNAcentral describes it as "partial large subunit ribosomal RNA". It matches the Rfam family "Eukaryotic large subunit ribosomal RNA", at positions 24 to 982 of the family's 3401-position model. The record is from RNAcentral. Lineage: Eukaryota; Fungi; Ascomycota; Dothideomycetes; Mycosphaerellales; Mycosphaerellaceae.